RNAcentral lists this ribosomal RNA (257 nucleotides) under uncultured Pseudomonadales bacterium. RNAcentral's name for it is "partial 16S ribosomal RNA". It matches the Rfam family "Bacterial small subunit ribosomal RNA", at positions 504 to 759 of the family's 1533-position model. Lineage: Bacteria; Pseudomonadati; Pseudomonadota; Gammaproteobacteria; Pseudomonadales. The record is from RNAcentral.
UGUGCCAGCAGCCGCGGUAAUACAGAGGGUGCGAGCGUUAAUCGGAAUUACUGGGCGUAAAGCGAGUGUAGGUGGCUCAUUAAGUCACAUGUGAAAUCCCCGGGCUUAACCUGGGAACUGCAUGUGAUACUGGUGGUGCUAGAAUAUGUGAGAGGGAAGUAGAAUUCCAGGUGUAGCGGUGAAAUGCGUAGAGAUCUGGAGGAAUACCGAUGGCGAAGGCAGCUUCCUGGCAUAAUAUUGACACUGAGAUUCGAAAG